This 365-nucleotide ribosomal RNA is filed under the name uncultured bacterium. RNAcentral's name for it is "bacterial SSU rRNA". It matches the Rfam family "Bacterial small subunit ribosomal RNA", at positions 109 to 507 of the family's 1533-position model. The record is from RNAcentral.
AGUACACGUGACUUAUCUACCCUCGAGUGGGGAAUAACUUGGGAAACCGAGGCUAAUACCGCAUAAUACCCACGGGUCAAAGGAGCAAUUCGCUUGAGGAGGAGGUCGCGGCCGAUUAGUUAGUUGGCGGGGUAAUGGCCCCACCAAGACGGUGAUCGGUAUCCGGCCUGAGAGGGCGCACGGACACACUGGAACUGAAACACGGUCCAGACUCCUACGGGAGGCAGCAGUGGGGAAUUUUGCNCAAUGGGGGAAACCCUGACGCAGCAACGCCGCGUGGAGGAUGAAGUCUCUUGGGACGUAAACUCCUUUCGAUCGGGACGAUUAUGACGGUACCGGAAGAAGAAGCCCCGGCUAACUUCGUG